Molecule: ribosomal RNA, 208 nt
Filed under: uncultured Bacillota bacterium
Lineage: Bacteria; Bacillati; Bacillota
Description: uncultured Firmicutes bacterium partial 16S ribosomal RNA
Rfam family: Bacterial small subunit ribosomal RNA
Source: RNAcentral
UGCGUAGGUGGCACUUUAAGUUGGAUGUGAAAUACCCGAGCUUAACUUGGGGGCUGCAUCCAAUACUGGAGAGCUAGAGUGCAGGAGAGGGAAGUGGAAUUCCUAGUGUAGCGGUGAAAUGCGUAGAUAUUAGGAGGAACACCAGUGGCGAAGGCGACUUUCUGGACUGUAACUGACACUGAGGCACGAAAGCGUGGGGAGCAAACAG